RNAcentral lists this ribosomal RNA (438 nucleotides) under Phorcosergia grandis. Its description in RNAcentral is "partial large subunit ribosomal RNA". It matches the Rfam family "Bacterial large subunit ribosomal RNA", at positions 1972 to 2606 of the family's 2925-position model. Lineage: Eukaryota; Metazoa; Arthropoda; Malacostraca; Decapoda; Sergestidae. The record is from RNAcentral.
UCUUUUAAUUGAAGGCUCGUAUGAAUGGUCGGACAAAAAGUAAGCUGUCUUCAACUGUAAAAAUUGAAUUUGACUUUUAAGUGAAAAGGCUUAAAUAGUACAAAGUGACGAUAAGACCCUAUAAAGCUUUAUAGUGAAACUUUUUAUUAUAAAUUAUUGAAUUGUAUAACUUAAUUUAAAGUGAAACUUUUUCGUUGGGGCGACGAAAAUAUAAUAAAAUAACUGUUUUUGUUUAAAUAAUACAAGCAUAUUUGAUUUUAAUGAAUGAUCCUUUAUUAAAGAUUAAAAGAUUAAGUUACUUUAGGGAUAACAGCGUAAUCUUCUUUGAGAGUUCAUAUCGACAAGAAGGGUUGCGACCUCGAUGUUGAAUUAAGGUUCCUGUGUGGUGUAGCAGCUGCGAUUGGAGGUCUGUUCGACCUUUAAAUCCUUACAUGAUUU